Molecule: long non-coding RNA, 1427 nt
Filed under: Brassica rapa (field mustard)
Lineage: Eukaryota; Viridiplantae; Streptophyta; Magnoliopsida; Brassicales; Brassicaceae
Description: long non-coding RNA (BRAP_LNC008895)
Source: RNAcentral
UCAUACUUGCUUUCAUGAGUUAGAAACUGUUAAGAUUAAUGCAUACUGCCUUGUUGCUGCUUUGGAUUGUUGCAUUUAGAUUAAAGUCUAAGUUGCAUAUUAAGGAGUGAUUAAAAUUGCCUAAAUACUUUGACUUGAAUCUGAUAAGGUCUUGCUUAGUAUUUAGAGAAUGGUUGCUUGCAUAGAUAAGAACUUGACAUUGUCUUGAUUCUAUCUAAUGUUAUAAAGCUUGAGACAUUGGUGAUCAAACUUGAUGAAGUCAAGGAUUGAUCCCAAUGCAAUUGUGUCUUAUCUUGGCUAGAGUUUGAGUGAUGUUUCAGGUUCACAAAAGGUGCUCCUAGUUCAUCAUCAAAUCCGAGUUGAAAGAGAAAGAAUGAUGCCCAUUGUGUGUACAAUGGAGAGGUGUUACAAGAAAGGGAGAAGCACAGAUGGUUGUAGAACUCACUCGUGCUCUUCUUCUUAACAUUGCAAGUAUCAGAAGAAGAAGCCAACCGGGUCUAGGCAGUGGCGUGCCUAUUCAAGAGGGUGCUCAAACUAAGACAGAGCACUCUUGGCUGUGUGAAGAAGAAGGCUACUCUAUCAAGGCGGCUUCUAUUGUGAGGUGAUUGAAGAAGUAGCUGAAGCAUCCACAAGCAUUCCAUCAUGGUGGUGACUUCAGAAGGGUGAUUGCAAUAAGAGAAGAAGAAGAAGUAAGGAUUCAAGUGGUAACUCUGAGAACCACUCCUCAUCAUCUUAACCAAGGGAGUAAACCUAAUCUCAUCUAUCUUAAUAUGUCUUGAUAGGUUUAACUCCUGAUUAUACUAUGUGCUUUCCCUAAUUCCAUUAAGUGUUUAUAGCUUCUAGUAGAAUGUCUAGGCUAAUUGCACUGAAAUUGUUUUGCUGUUGCAUUGUCAUAUUGAUAGUAAGUAAUGUCUAGAGUCCCAGAAUCUCAUGUUUUGUUUAAUGCAUUGUCUUGAGUGUUGUCAUAGCUUGAAUCAUCAUGAAUGUGUUGUAGAAUUGAGUAGAAUGUCUCUGCUGCUUGCAUCAUGAUUGAUAAGUUAUUUUGCAUACAUAAUCAUAUCUCAUACUGUCUAAGUUCAAUCCUAUUGUUAUCUGAUGCUAUUGCCUAUGUUUAAUCCAUCAAUGAAAGUCUUGCAUCAAUUAGAAAUUGUCUAAGUUGCUUGCAUCAUUGGUUUUGAUUGAAACUGUUGUGCAUAGCCUUAAUAUUGCUCAUGGAUUGAACCUGUUGCAUUCAUAUAGCUAAAGCUUUAAGAUUGUGCAUUCAUGUAGUAAUGCAUUUAAAAAUGAGCCUAAAGUUCUGAUUGUUGCUAUGCCAUAGUUAAAUCCAUCAGUGAUGUCUUAUAAGCAUUUAGAAGUAUGUCUAAGCUAUUUGGAUCAUUGGCAUUGAUAAAAACUAGGGAGCAUAAGCAUGAAUUGUGUCACUCUUG